This 253-nucleotide ribosomal RNA is filed under the name uncultured bacterium. RNAcentral's name for it is "partial 16S ribosomal RNA". It matches the Rfam family "Bacterial small subunit ribosomal RNA", at positions 524 to 776 of the family's 1533-position model. The record is from RNAcentral.
UACGUAGGGGGCAAGCGUUGUCCGGAAUCAUUGGGCGUAAAGAGCGUGUAGGCGGCCCGGUAAGUCCGCUGUGAAAGUCCAGGGCUCAACCCUGGGAUGCCGGUGGAUACUGUCGGGCUCGAGUCCGGAAGAGGAGUGUGGAAUUCCUGGUGUAGCGGUGAAAUGCGUAGAUAUCCGGAGGAACACCGGUGGCGAAGGCGGCUUCCUGGACCGACACUGACGCUGAGGCGCGAAAGCUAGGGGAGCAAACGGG